This 405-nucleotide ribosomal RNA is filed under the name uncultured bacterium. Its description in RNAcentral is "partial 16S ribosomal RNA". It matches the Rfam family "Bacterial small subunit ribosomal RNA", at positions 30 to 526 of the family's 1533-position model. The record is from RNAcentral.
AUUGAACGCUGGCGGCAGGCUUAACACAUGCAAGUCGAACGAGUGGCGGACGGGUGAGUAAUGCUUGGGAAUCUAGCUUAUGGAGGGGGAUAACUCCGGGUAACUGUAGCUAAUACCGCGUACCAUCGGCUUAGCCCUAGUGGGAUUAGGUAGUGGGUAAGGUAAAGGCUCACCAAGCCGACGAUCUCUAGCUGGUCUGAGAGGAUGACCAGCCACACUUGAACUGAGACACGGACCAGACUCCUACGGGAGGCAGCAGUGGGGAAUAUUGCGCAAUGGGGGCAACCUGACGCAGCAAUGACGCGUGAAUGAAGAAGGCCUUCGGUUUGUAAAGUUCUUUCGGUAGCGAGGCGUUAACUACAGAAGAAGCACCGGCUAACUCCGUGCCAGCAGCCGCGGUAAUAC